RNAcentral lists this ribosomal RNA (49 nucleotides) under uncultured SAR116 cluster alpha proteobacterium. Its description in RNAcentral is "partial 23S ribosomal RNA". The record is from RNAcentral. Lineage: Bacteria; Pseudomonadati; Pseudomonadota; Alphaproteobacteria; Puniceispirillales (SeqCode).
GAAGAGCAUUUGGUGGAUGCCUUGGUACAGAGAGGCGAUGAAAGACGUG